RNAcentral lists this ribosomal RNA (433 nucleotides) under uncultured bacterium. RNAcentral describes it as "partial 16S ribosomal RNA". It matches the Rfam family "Bacterial small subunit ribosomal RNA", at positions 29 to 507 of the family's 1533-position model. The record is from RNAcentral.
AACGAACGCUGGCGGCAUGCCUAACACAUGCAAGUCGAACGAAACCUUCGGGUCUAUUGGCGCCUGGGUGUGUAACGCGUGGGAACCUGCACUUAUGUUCGGCAUACCUCUCAGACAGGGGUGCCAUUACCGGACAGUAUCUUCUGCCCAAAGAUUUAUUGCCCUUGGUUGGUCCCUCGUUGGAUUCGAUUGUUGGUAGGGUUAAAGCCUACCACGGCGCCCAUUCAUAGCUUGUCUGAGAGAAAGAUUAGCGACACUUGGACUGAGACACGGCCGAGACUCCUACGGGAGGGAGCAGAGGGGAAUAGUGGAAAAUGGGCGAAAGCAUGAUGGAGCUAUGACGGGUGAAUGAUGAAGGCAUUAGGGUUGUAAUGCUCUAUUAACCGGGAUGAUCAUGACAGUACCGGAAGAAUAAGCCCCGGCUAACUCCGUG